GAUGAACGCUGGCGGCGUGCCUAAUACAUGCAAGUCGAGCGAACAGACGAGGAGCUUGCUCCUCUGACGUUAGCGGCGGACGGGUGAGUAACACGUGGAUAACCUACCUAUAAGACUGGGAUAACUUCGGGAAACCGGAGCUAAUACCGGAUAAUAUAUUGAACCGCAUGGUUCAAUAGUGAAAGACGGUUUUGCUGUCACUUAUAGAUGGAUCCGCGCCGCAUUAGCUAGUUGGUAAGGUAACGGCUUACCAAGGCAACGAUGCGUAGCCGACCUGAGAGGGUGAUCGGCCACACUGGAACUGAGACACGGUCCAGACUCCUACGGGAGGCAGCAGUAGGGAAUCUUCCGCAAUGGGCGAAAGCUUGACGGAGCAACGCCGCGUGAGUGAUGAAGGUCUUCGGAUCGUAAAACUCUGUUAUUAGGGAAGAACAAAUGUGUAAGUAACUAUGCACGUCUUGACGGUACCUAAUCAGUAAGCCACGGCUAACUACGUG
Molecule: ribosomal RNA, 497 nt
Filed under: uncultured bacterium
Lineage: Bacteria
Description: partial 16S ribosomal RNA
Rfam family: Bacterial small subunit ribosomal RNA
Source: RNAcentral